Maniola jurtina (meadow brown) is the source of this 1231-nucleotide long non-coding RNA. RefSeq lists it as uncharacterized. The transcript is spliced from 3 exons. The record is from RefSeq and is a predicted model, not a curated record. Lineage: Eukaryota; Metazoa; Arthropoda; Insecta; Lepidoptera; Nymphalidae.
UUUGACAGAUUUAAAUUUAAUUUAGAGCUGUCAACCUCGUGACUUUAGCUGCCAGUCGCGAGCCUAUUGUUUAAAUUUAUAGCGUGCACUAAAAUUCAGAGUCUUCAAAUGUAAAAUUCAUGUUCUGUCCCUUUUCAAGAAUAUUAAAAGGAGGAGGACGCAGAUACUCUAAAUUUAGUUUAGAGAAAGACAACAGAAUCGGUACCAAUGUCGGGAAUGUAAUAGAUAUAAAGAUUACGCAAUAUACCUACCGUUGCUAGUAGAAAAUUUUGCUACACGUACACCCAAUCAUUCACAUUAUAAUUUCAUAAAAAAUUUACGAACAUCUAACAAUUAUUAUUGAUACACGGUUAAAAUUAUCUAUUAAAAUAUUCAUCUCUUUUACAUAAUAACAUCGACUUUUAGAAAUUUAUUUAUUGCAGAAGUAUCGAAAGUAUUAUUAAACAGCCAACGACAUGCAAAGCCCUAUUAUACAACAAUUAAUAGGUAUAUAAUAAAAUAGGUAAUUAAUUGAUAAAUAAUAGUUAAUGAUAAGUUUAAAGAAGUCGCUGUUUUCUGCAGGUACAUUUAGAAAGAGAUUGGGUUUUCAUUUGUGUCUACAAUGGGCAAAAGAGACCUUUAACAACAUCAAUUAACAAUUACAGUCUCUGUAUCCAAUUUGUACUACAUGUACCUAUUUUUCUAGCGUUUGCUAGAAAUAACGGAACCGAAAAGCAAUUUAUAAAUUAAAACUUCCAAACCACAUACGGAUGUCCUAUUUAUAAUAUUCAGCUGAUAUCAUAUAAAUAACGACCGUAAUAAUCAUCCACAAAUCCAAUGGUCACUUAUCCCGUACUGUAGGUACCAGGUCUAUCAGGCUGUCAUAAAAUAUAGAAAGUGUAUUCCUAUACCUAACGUUCAAAAUAUAAUCACCUGGUACAUAGUAACUAAAUAUGAAACACUAGAACGUACACUUUGAUUGAAUCCAAUUGAACAUUUUUUGCAUCACCAAUACUAAGUGAUGCCUUUGUAUAUUUCGAUUUGAUAAAAUCUUUUAGAUAGAAGUUUUAGAUUGCUUCUUUACAUAAAGCUUAUACUCUAACUACUUUUUUAAUCAUACCUUUUGGAUAAAUUUAUUACAAUGAUUACAAUAUAAUAUAUACCAAACCACACUUAAUAUUAACAUACUCGUAAAAAUGUCUUCUGUCAUAUUGAGAUUAGUUUUUAAAAUAUUGAGUAAAUUAAUUGCUGU